This 434-nucleotide unclassified non-coding RNA is filed under the name Senecio lacustrinus. RNAcentral describes it as "partial contains external transcribed spacer and 18S ribosomal RNA". The stretch from base 371 to 434 matches the Rfam family "Eukaryotic small subunit ribosomal RNA", at positions 1 to 64 of the family's 1831-position model. Lineage: Eukaryota; Viridiplantae; Streptophyta; Magnoliopsida; Asterales; Asteraceae. The record is from RNAcentral.
CAACUUCCACCUGGCUUACCUCCNUCAGUUAUGCGUCAUGACUUGUAUCGUCUUGAGCGUAUUGUGGGUUUCCUGUGUUGCAUACCUUUCUAAUGGUAUCGUGUUGAUUGAUCGAAGUCCCUUUUCAUCUUGUGUUGCUUUUUGCGACGCAUGAUGAACAUCGAGGCGCUCUCUAUGUUCCACCACGUUGAUGCUAGCGUUUUGAUGUUGUGGCCCAUUGAGUGUUGCUUGGUUUCGUGGAUACAGAACAUGAUUUGGGCAUAGGGUUACUUGUGACUCUUGUUUUGUCCUUUAUCUGUGUUCUUUAUAACGACAGUUCAUGUGCGCCUAGGCUCGUACCUGCGUGAUGUUCUUUGUCGAAGAGGAAUGCUACCUGGUUGAUCCUGCCAGUAGUCAUAUGCUUGUCUCAAAGAUUAAGCCAUGCAUGUGUAAGU